Molecule: ribosomal RNA, 466 nt
Filed under: uncultured bacterium
Lineage: Bacteria
Description: partial 16S ribosomal RNA
Rfam family: Bacterial small subunit ribosomal RNA
Source: RNAcentral
GAUGAACGCUGGCGGCGUGCUUAACACAUGCAAGUCGAACGAUGAAGCCCAGCUUGCUGGGUGGAUUAGUGGCGAACGGGUGAGUAACACGUUAGUAACCUGCCCUUAACUCUGGGAUAAGCCUGUGAAACUGGGUCUAAUACCGGAUAGGAGCGCCUACCGCAUGGUGGGUGUUGGAAAGAUUUAUCGGUUUAGUAUGGACUCGCGGCCUAUCAGCUUGUUGGUGAGGUAAUGGCUCACCAAGGCGACGACGGGUAGCCGGCCUGAGAGGGUGACCGGCCACACUGGGACUGAGACACGGCCGAGACUCCUACGGGAGGCAGCAGUGGGGAAUAUUGCACAAUGGGCGAAAGCCUGAUGAAGAGACGCCGCGUGAGGGAUGACGGCCUUCGGGUUGUAAACCUCUUUCAGUAGGGAAGAAGCGAAAGUGACGGUACCUGCAGAAGAAGCACCGGCUAACUACGUG